UUGACCUCGGAUCAGGUAGGACUACCCGCUGAACUUAAGCAUAUCAAUAAGCGGAGGAAAAGAAACCAACAGGGAUUGCCCCAGUAACGGCGAGUGAAGCGGCAACAGCUCAAAUUUGAAAUCUGGCCUUCGGGUCCGAGUUGUAAUUUGGAGAGGAUGCUUCUGGCGCGGCGCCGUCCGAGUUCCUUGGAACAGGACGCCAUAGAGGGUGAGAGCCCCGUACGGGCGGACGCCUAGCCUCUGUGAAGCUCCUUCGACGAGUCGAGUAGUUUGGGAAUGCUGCUCAAAAUGGGAGGUAAAUUUCUUCUAAAGCUAAAUACCGGCCAGAGACCGAUAGCGCACAAGUAGAGUGAUCGAAAGAUGAAAAGCACUUUGAAAAGAGGGUUAAAAAGUACGUGAAAAUUGUUGAAAGGGAAGCGCCUGUGACCAGACUUGCUGCCCGCGGAUCAUCCGGCGUUCCUCGCCGGUGCACUCCGCGGGCGGCAGGCCAGCAUCGGUUUUCCUGGGGGGUCAAAGGUCGCGGGAACGUGGCUCCUUCGGGAGUGUUAUAGCCCGCGGCGUCAUGCCUCUGGGGGGACCGAGGACCGCGCUUCGGCAAGGAUGCUGGCGUAAUGGUCACCGGCGACCCGUCUUGAAACACGG
RNAcentral lists this ribosomal RNA (642 nucleotides) under Ophiostoma montium. Its description in RNAcentral is "eukaryotic LSU rRNA". It matches the Rfam family "Eukaryotic large subunit ribosomal RNA", at positions 1 to 664 of the family's 3401-position model. Lineage: Eukaryota; Fungi; Ascomycota; Sordariomycetes; Ophiostomatales; Ophiostomataceae. The record is from RNAcentral.